GUGGGGAAUCUUGCACAAUGGGGGAAACCCUGAUGCAGCGACGCCGCGUGAGCGAUGAAGCCCUUCGGGGUGUAAAGCUCUUUCGGCAGGGAAGAUUAUGACGGUACCUGCAGAAGCAGCUGCGGCUAACUACGUGCCAGCAGCCGCGGUAAUACGUAGGCAGCAAGCGUUGUUCGGAGUUACUGGGCGUAAAGGGUGUGUAGGCGGUCCCUUAAGUUUGUCGUGAAAUCUCCCGGCUCAACUGGGAGGGUGCGGCGAAUACUGAGGGGCUAGAGUGCGGGAGAGGAAAGUGGAAUUCCUGGUGUAGCGGUGAAAUGCGUAGAUAUCAGGAGGAACACCGGUGGUGUAGACGGCUUUCUGGACCGUAACUGACGCUGAGACACGAAAGCGUGGGUAGCAAACAGGAUUAGAAACCCUAGUAGUCC
Molecule: ribosomal RNA, 425 nt
Filed under: uncultured bacterium
Lineage: Bacteria
Description: bacterial SSU rRNA
Rfam family: Bacterial small subunit ribosomal RNA
Source: RNAcentral